GGAGCACUCUCCACAGCUGCUGGUCCAGGUGCUAAGUCCCUCACUGCCCAGCACCUGCAGCGCCGACCGGCCGCUCUUGAGUGCGGGGCCUGCAGAGCCCACGCCCACCCGGAACUCGCGCUGGCCCGUGAGCGCCGUGCCGCAGCCCCGGUUCCCGCCCGCGCCUCUCCCUCCACACUUCGCCGCAAGCAGAGGGAGCCGGCUCCGGCCUCAGCUGGCCCAGAGAGGGGCUCCCUCAGUGCAGUGGCGAGCUGAAGGGCUCCUCAAGGGCGGCUGGAGUGGACGCUGAGGCCGAGGAGACGCCAAGAGCAAACGAGGGCUGCUAGUACAUUGUCACCUCUCACUGGUAACUACAGUUGCUGUCAGUUUAACUGAAAGACAGGACAGAUUCUUAUGACCUGAAACAGCACCUCAACUCUUACCUUGGAUAUUUCUACAUGAAGAAUCUGCUCUGAAACUAUAGCAAACAAUCACAGAGUGUUUGAGUGUGAGUCCAGACUGGUUCGGGAAGACCAAGAAGCAAUGAUGAUGUCUGUUUUUGUCAAAUGUCUGAAAACUAUUUUUAUUUUUCUAAAACUUUGUUCAGAAGUCUCAAUAUUGUAGUGUAUAGAGAUGUACACUAAUUUAGUGAUAUGAAGAUGAAGGGCUUUAAGCCUGUGUUCCUUGCAGGCAUCUCAGUACCUAGGAACUCCAAAGAACAAACUGUUGCUCGUGCAAAAUUAAAUUUCAUAAAACAGCAAAGAA
This 744-nucleotide long non-coding RNA is filed under the name Homo sapiens (human). RNAcentral describes it as "novel transcript". Lineage: Eukaryota; Metazoa; Chordata; Mammalia; Primates; Hominidae. The record is from RNAcentral.